RNAcentral lists this ribosomal RNA (1394 nucleotides) under uncultured bacterium SBR2113. RNAcentral describes it as "16S ribosomal RNA". It matches the Rfam family "Bacterial small subunit ribosomal RNA". Lineage: Bacteria; Candidatus Saccharimonadota. The record is from RNAcentral.
GAUGAACGCUAGCGGCAUGCCUAAGGUAUGCAAGUCGCGCGAAAUAUCACCUUCGGGUGAUGGAAAGCGGCGGACGGGUGAGUAACGCGUAGAAACAUACCCCAAAGUGAGGGAUAAUUCCGGGAAACCGGGACUAAUACCGCAUACUGUCUACGGACAAAAGAUUUAUCGCUAUGGGAAUGGUCUGCGUCCGAUUAGCUUGUUGGUGAGGUAAAGGCUCACCAAGGCGAUGAUCGGUAGCUGGUUUGAGAGGAUGAUCAGCCACACUGGAACUGAGACACGGUCCAGACCCCUACGGGGGGCAGCAACUAGGAAUCUUCCACAAUGGGCGAAAGCCUGAUGGAGCAAUGCCGCGUGCAGGAUGAAGGACCUUGGUUCGUAAACUGCUUUUAUAUGUGAAGAUUAUGACGGUAGCAUAUGAAUAAGGAUCGGCUAACUACGUGCCAGCAGCCGCGGUGAUACGUAGGAUCCAAGCGUUAUCCGGAUUUAUUGGGCGUAAAGAGUUGCGUAGGCGGCAGAGUUAGCGAAUAGUGAAAUAGUGUGGCUCAACCAUACGAACAUUAUUCGAACUGCUCAGCUAGAGAGCGGAAGAGGUAGCUGGAAUUAUUAGUGGAGGAGUAAUAUCCGUAGAUAUUAGUAAGAACACCAAUGGCGAAGGCAGGCUACUGGUCCGUUUCUGACGCUCAGGCACGAAAGCGUAGGUAGCAAACAGGAUUAGAUACCCUGGUAGUCUACGCCGUAAACGAUGGAUACUAGCAUUCGGAGGUGUCGACCCCUUCGGUAGCGAAGCUAACGCGUUAAGUAUCCCGCCUGUGUAGUACGAGCGCAAGCUUAAAACAUAAAGGAAUUGACGGGGACCCGCACAAGCGGUGGAGCGUGUUCUUUAAUUCGAGGCUAAGCGAAGAACCUUACCAGGGCUUGAAAUCCUGCGAAGGUUUGCGAAAGCAGACUGUGCCUUUUAGGAACGCAGUGACAGGUGUUGCAUGGCCGUCGUCAGCUCGUGUCGUGAGAUGUUGGGUUAAGUCCCGCAACGAGCGCAACCCCUAUACUUAGUUGUAUUUUUCUAGGUAGACUGCCUCGGUAACGGGGAGGAAGGAGGGGACGACGUCUGGUCUUUAUGGCCCUUAUGUCCUGGGCUAGAAACGCGCUACAAUGGCCGGUACAAAGAGCUUAAGCGAUGUCGCGAGACGGAGCAAAUCUCAUCAAAGCCGGUCCCAGUUCGGAUAGCAGGCUGAAACUCGCCUGCUUGAAGUCGGAAUCGCUAGUAACCGUAGGUCAGCAUACUACGGUGAAUACGUUCCCGGGUCUUGUACACACUGCCCGUCAAGCUGUGGGAGUCACCAAUACCCGAAGUCUCACAUUCGUGGGCCUAAGGUAGGGGGGAUGACUGGAGU